Molecule: ribosomal RNA, 120 nt
Filed under: Pteropus alecto (black flying fox)
Lineage: Eukaryota; Metazoa; Chordata; Mammalia; Chiroptera; Pteropodidae
Source: RNAcentral
GAGUAUGGCCAUGCCACCUCAAACAAGCCAGAUCCCGUCUGAUCUCAGAAGCUAAGCAGGGUCGGGGCCUGGUUAGUACUUGGAUGGGAGACCACCUAGGAAGACCAGGUGCUGUAGGCA